This is a long non-coding RNA of Phodopus roborovskii (desert hamster), 792 nucleotides long. RefSeq lists it as uncharacterized. The transcript has 2 exons. NCBI's taxonomy places the organism in Eukaryota, Metazoa, Chordata, Mammalia, Rodentia, Cricetidae. The record is from RefSeq and is a predicted model, not a curated record.
CCUAAAACUCUGGAGGGAUAGAAUCCCCAAACCAGGGGAAAUCUGAAGAUGAGAUCCCCCUAACUUUCAUACUGUUAAACCCUCUUCUCUUGGACAUUCUCAGCGUUCCCUUUUAUUUCUUAGAUUUCCAUUUAAGCCAGAUUUGCUUGAGGUGUACAUUUCAAUGUUGUCAUUUACUAUAAAGGGACAAGCUUUUAGAAUGAUAGUAUUGUACAGGCGUCAAUCUAUAGUCUGUUUUAAACUUGAUUUAUCCAUUUGUUAAUUUUUUUAAUGUUUUCAAACUUCCAUUUCUCUUCACAUCUGCUCCAUGUGAGAGAGAGAACAAAAUCCAGCCAGUAGUUUCUAGUUUGACUUUCGGUAUUCCCCUAGAAGCAAGCAUCCAUACAGAUGCUGUACUUCUUCUGUCCUCCCUAACUCAGAAGCCCUAAUAUGAGGAAGGAAAGCAUCAGACUGUUAGAGGAGAACAGGACCAGGCUAUCUAGAUAAAUAUGAAGACCUGCUUCAGACCAAUGAGAAGAAUUAGACAAGCAAUACGCAAGUGUGCAGACUUUCUGAGAAGGAUCAGCCAGCAUCACCUUCCUUCUUUGGGCUUAGGUCAGCACGUUUCUGCCAUCAACAUGACUACCGAUUAAGCAAAAACAAGGAGCAUCUUAAUUAUCAUCUGCUUUGGUUGCAUAAACGAACUUGUAAAUAAAUCUAUUGAUGUUAAAGACAAUAUCGUCAUCUUCCCAACCAACUAUAAAAGAGUUCUUAUACCAAAAGGCAUGGAAGAUACUUGGACUUGUGAGCUGA